AGGGUUUGAUCAUGGCUCAGGAUGAACGCUGGCGGCGUGCUUAACACAUGCAAGUCGAACGAACCUUCGGGUUAGUGGCGGACGGGUGAGUAACGCGUGAGAAUCUGCCCUCAGGAGGGGGAUAACGGUUGGAAACGACCGCUAAUACCCCAUAUGCCGAUAGGUGAAAUGAAUUUCGCCUGAGGAUGAGCUCGCGUCUGAUUAGCUAGUUGGUGAGGUAAUGGCUCACCAAGGCUUCGAUCAGUAGCUGGUCUGAGAGGAUGAUCAGCCACACUGGGACUGAGACACGGCCCAGACUCCUACGGGAGGCAGCAGUGGGGAAUUUUCCGCAAUGGGCGAAAGCCUGACGGAGCAACGCCGCGUGAGGGACGAAGGCCUCUGGGCUGUAAACCUCUUUUCUCAAGGAAGAAGAUAUGACGGUACUUGAGGAAUAAGCCACGGCUAAUUCCGUGCCAGCAGCCGCGGUAAUACGGGAGUGGCAAGCGUUAUCCGGAAUUAUUGGGCGUAAAGCGUCCGCAGGCGGCUUAUCAAGUCUGCUGUUAAAGCGUGGAGCUUAACUCCAUCAUGGCAGUGGAAACUGAUAGGCUUGAGUAUGGUAGGGGCAGAGGGAAUUCCCGGUGUAGCGGUGAAAUGCGUAGAUAUCGGGAAGAACACCAGUGGCGAAGGCGCUCUGCUGGGCCAUUACUGACGCUCAUGGACGAAAGCCAGGGGAGCGAAAGGGAUUAGAUACCCCUGUAGUCCUGGCCGUAAACGAUGAACACUAGGUGUCGGGGGAAUCGACCCCUUCGGUGUCGUAGCUAACGCGUUAAGUGUUCCGCCUGGGGAGUACGCACGCAAGUGUGAAACUCAAAGGAAUUGACGGGGGCCCGCACAAGCGGUGGAGUAUGUGGUUUAAUUCGAUGCAACGCGAAGAACCUUACCAGGGUUUGACAUCCUGCGAACCUCUUAGAAAUUUGAGGGUGCCUUCGGGAAUGCAGUGACAGGUGGUGCAUGGCUGUCGUCAGCUCGUGUCGUGAGAUGUUGGGUUAAGUCCCGCAACGAGCGCAACCCACGUUUUUAGUUGCCAGCAUUUAGUUGGGCACUCUAGAAAGACCGCCGGUGAUAAACCGGAGGAAGGUGUGGAUGACGUCAAGUCAUCAUGCCCCUUACACCCUGGGCUACACACGUACUACAAUGCUACGGACAAAGGGCAGCAAACUCGCGAGAGCUAGCAAAUCCCAUAAACCGUGGCUCAGUUCAGAUCGUAGGCUGCAACUCGCCUACGUGAAGUAGGAAUCGCUAGUAAUCGCAGGUCAGCAUACUGCGGUGAAUACGUUCCCGGGCCUUGUACACACCGCCCGUCACACCAUGGAAGUUGGCCAUGCCCGAAGUCGUUACUCCAACCCUUGUGGAGGAGGACGCCGAAGGUGGGGCUAAUGACUGGGGUGAAGUCGUAACAAGGUAACCGUA
This 1449-nucleotide ribosomal RNA is filed under the name uncultured bacterium. RNAcentral describes it as "bacterial SSU rRNA". It matches the Rfam family "Bacterial small subunit ribosomal RNA". The record is from RNAcentral.